RNAcentral lists this transfer RNA (72 nucleotides) under Microbacterium sp. NIBRBAC000506063. RNAcentral's name for it is "tRNA-Arg". It matches the Rfam family "tRNA". Rfam says of the family: Transfer RNA (tRNA) molecules are approximately 80 nucleotides in length. Their secondary structure includes four short double-helical elements and three loops (D, anti-codon, and T loops). Further hydrogen bonds mediate the characteristic L-shaped molecular structure. tRNAs have two regions of fundamental functional importance: the anti-codon, which is responsible for specific mRNA codon recognition, and the 3' end, to which the tRNAs corresponding amino acid is attached (by aminoacyl-tRNA synthetases). tRNAs cope with the degeneracy of the genetic code in two manners: having more than one tRNA (with a specific anti-codon) for a particular amino acid; and 'wobble' base-pairing, i.e. permitting non-standard base-pairing at the 3rd anti-codon position. Lineage: Bacteria; Bacillati; Actinomycetota; Actinomycetes; Micrococcales; Microbacteriaceae. The record is from RNAcentral.
GCCUCCGUAGCUCAGGGGAAGAGCACUUCUCUCCUAAAGAAGGUGUCGCAGGUUCGAUUCCUGCCGGGGGCA